Molecule: ribosomal RNA, 253 nt
Filed under: uncultured bacterium
Lineage: Bacteria
Description: partial 16S ribosomal RNA
Rfam family: Bacterial small subunit ribosomal RNA
Source: RNAcentral
UACGUAGGGGGCAAGCGUUGUCCGGAAUCAUUGGGCGUAAAGCGCGCGUAGGCGGCCCGGUAAGUCCGUUGUGAAAGUCAAAGGCUCAACCUUUGAACGCCGAUGGAUACUGCCGGGCUAGGGUCCGGAAGAGGCGAGUGGAAUUCCUGGUGUAGCGGUGAAAUGCGUAGAUAUUGGGAGGAACACCAGUGGCGAAGGCGGCUCACUGGACCGGAACUGACGCUGAGGCGCGAAAGCGUGGGGAGCAAACAGG